GGCUCAGGAUGAACGCUGGCGGCGUGCCUAAUACAUGCAAGUCGAGCGAACGGACGAGAAGCUUGCUUCUCUGAUGUUAGCGGCGGACGGGUGAGUAACACGUGGAUAACCUACCUAUAAGACUGGGAUAACUUCGGGAAACCGGAGCUAAUACCGGAUAAUAUUUUGAACCGCAUGGUUCAAAAGUGAAAGACGGUCUUGCUGUCACUUAUAGAUGGAUCCGCGCUGCAUUAGCUAGUUGGUAAGGUAACGGCUUACCAAGGCAACGAUGCAUAGCCGACCUGAGAGGGUGAUCGGCCACACUGGAACUGAGACACGGUCCAGACUCCUACGGGAGGCAGCAGUAGGGAAUCUUCCGCAAUGGGCGAAAGCCUGACGGAGCAACGCCGCGUGAGUGAUGAAGGUCUUCGGAUCGUAAAACUCUGUUAUUAGGGAAGAACAUAUGUGUAAGUAACUGUGCACAUCUUGACGGUACCUAAUCAGAAAGCCACGGCUAACUACGUGCCAGCAGCCGCGGUAAUACGUAGGUGGCAAGCGUUAUCCGGAAUUAUUGGGCGUAAAGCGCGCGUAGGCGGUUUUUUAAGUCUGAUGUGAAAGCCCACGGCUCAACCGUGGAGGGUCAUUGGAAACUGGAAAACUUGAGUGCAGAAGAGGAAAGUGGAAUUCCAUGUGUAGCGGUGAAAUGCGCAGAGAUAUGGAGGAACACCAGUGGCGAAGGCGACUUUCUGGUCUGUAACUGACGCUGAUGUGCGAAAGCGUGGGGAUCAAACAGGAUUAGAUACCCUGGUAGUCCACGCCGUAAACGAUGAGUGCUAAGUGUUAGGGGGUUUCCGCCCCUUAGUGCUGCAGCUAACGCAUUAAGCACUCCGCCUGGGGAGUACGACCGCAAGGUUGAAACUCAAAGGAAUUGACGGGGACCCGCACAAGCGGUGGAGCAUGUGGUUUAAUUCGAAGCAACGCGAAGAACCUUACCAAAUCUUGACAUCCUUUGACAACUCUAGAGAUAGAGCCUUCCCCUUCGGGGGACAAAGUGACAGGUGGUGCAUGGUUGUCGUCAGCUCGUGUCGUGAGAUGUUGGGUUAAGUCCCGCAACGAGCGCAACCCUUAAGCUUAGUUGCCAUCAUUAAGUUGGGCACUCUAAGUUGACUGCCGGUGACAAACCGGAGGAAGGUGGGGAUGACGUCAAAUCAUCAUGCCCCUUAUGAUUUGGGCUACACACGUGCUACAAUGGACAAUACAAAGGGCAGCGAAACCGCGAGGUCAAGCAAAUCCCAUAAAGUUGUUCUCAGUUCGGAUUG
This 1298-nucleotide ribosomal RNA is filed under the name Staphylococcus aureus. RNAcentral describes it as "bacterial SSU rRNA". It matches the Rfam family "Bacterial small subunit ribosomal RNA", at positions 21 to 1300 of the family's 1533-position model. Lineage: Bacteria; Bacillati; Bacillota; Bacilli; Caryophanales; Staphylococcaceae. The record is from RNAcentral.